This 461-nucleotide ribosomal RNA is filed under the name uncultured Bacillus sp. Its description in RNAcentral is "bacterial SSU rRNA". It matches the Rfam family "Bacterial small subunit ribosomal RNA", at positions 921 to 1382 of the family's 1533-position model. Lineage: Bacteria; Bacillati; Bacillota; Bacilli; Caryophanales; Bacillaceae. The record is from RNAcentral.
CCGCACAAGCGGUGGAGCAUGUGGUUUAAUUCGAAGCAACGCGAAGAACCUUACCAGGUCUUGACAUCCCUGACAACCGAGAGAUCGGGCCGUUCCCCUUCGGGGGACAGGGUGACAGGUGGUGCAUGGUUGUCGUCAGCUCGUGUCGUGAGAUGUUGGGUUAAGUCCCGCAACGAGCGCAACCCUCGACCUUAGUUGCCAGCAUUCAGUUGAGAACUCUAAUGAGACUGCCAGUGAUAAACUGGAGGAAGGUGGGGAUGACGUCAAAUCAUCAUGCCCCUUAUGACCUGGGCUACACACGUGCUACAAUGGCCGGUACAAAGAGUUGCGAAACUGUGAAGUUAAGCUAAUCUCAUAAAGCCGGUCUCAGUUCGGAUUGUAGUCUGCAACUCGACUACAUGAAGUCGGAAUCGCUAGUAAUCGCGAAUCAGAAUGUCGCGGUGAAUACGUUCUCGAGUCUU